RNAcentral lists this long non-coding RNA (199 nucleotides) under Trifolium pratense (red clover). RNAcentral describes it as "long non-coding RNA (TPRA_LNC002496)". The record is from RNAcentral. Lineage: Eukaryota; Viridiplantae; Streptophyta; Magnoliopsida; Fabales; Fabaceae.
UAACAGUCACGGUUAUCUCGCUUCCGUACAGAUUCACCGUAUAAGUGCAGUGUGGCCGGAAUUGUCCUGGUGGUCACGGAUCACGGCAGCAGCCAUCUUCUUCUUCUUUUUUUCGGAAUUGGCCGUAUCUUCACCGUCGUCACCGAUGAUCAAUAUUUUUAAUCCUUUUCUAGAAGUAACUCUUGAAAUUGCAACAUAC